GACGAACGCUGGCGGCGUGCCUAAUACAUGCAAGCUGAGCGCUGAAGGUUGGUACUUGUACCAACUGGAUGAGCAGCGAACGGGUGAGUAACGCGUGGGGAAUCUGCCUUUGAGCGGGGGACAACAUUUGGAAACGAAUGCUAAUACCGCAUAAAAACUUUAAACACAAGUUUUAAGUUUGAAAGAUGCAAUUUCAUCACUCAAAGAUGAUCCCGCGUUGUAUUAGUUAGUUGGUGAGGUAAAGGCUCACCAAGGCGAUGAUACAUAGCCGACCUGAGAGGGUGAACGGCAAAAAUGGGAAUGAGAAAAGGCCCAAAAUCCUACGGGAGGCAGCAGUAGGGAAUCUUCGGAAAUGGAGGAAAGUCUGACCGAGCAACGACGAGGGAGUGAAGAAGGUGUUCGGAUCGUAAAACUCUGUUGGUAGAGAAGAACGUUGGUGAGAGUGGAAAGCUCAUCAAGUGACGGUAACUACCCAGAAAGGGACGGCUAACUACGUG
Molecule: ribosomal RNA, 497 nt
Filed under: uncultured bacterium
Lineage: Bacteria
Description: partial 16S ribosomal RNA
Rfam family: Bacterial small subunit ribosomal RNA
Source: RNAcentral